This 68-nucleotide transfer RNA is filed under the name Mytilisepta virgata. RNAcentral's name for it is "tRNA-Gln". Lineage: Eukaryota; Metazoa; Mollusca; Bivalvia; Mytilida; Mytilidae. The record is from RNAcentral.
AGGUGUCUCUAGAAUGAUGUUUAUAAGACAGUAUUUGAUGUACUUUAGAUUUUGAUUCUGAUGGAAUA